GCCAGGCGUGGUGGCGCAUGCCUGUAAUCCCAGCUACUCGGGAGGCUGAGGCAGGAGAAUCGCUUGAACCCGGGAGUCAGGAAUUGCAGCGAGCCAAGAACAUGCCACUGCACUCCAGCCUGGAUGACAAAGUGAGACUCUGUCUCAA
RNAcentral lists this non-coding RNA (148 nucleotides) under Chlorocebus sabaeus (green monkey). The record is from Rfam by way of RNAcentral. Lineage: Eukaryota; Metazoa; Chordata; Mammalia; Primates; Cercopithecidae.